GACGAACGCUGGCGGCGUGCUUAACACAUGCAAGUCGAACGGAAAGGCCCUGCUUUUGUGGGGUGCUCGAGUGGCGAACGGGUGAGUAACACGUGAGUAACCUGCCCUUGACUUUGGGAUAACUUCAGGAAACUGGGGCUAAUACCGGAUAGGAGCUCCUGCUGCAUGGUGGGGGUUGGAAAGUUUCGGCGGUUGGGGAUGGACUCGCGGGUUAUCAGCUUGUUGGUGGGGUAGUGGCUUACCAAGGCUUUGACGGGUAGUCGGCCUGGGAGGGUGACCGGGGACAAUGGGACUGAGAUAGGGCGCAGACGCCUACGGGAGGCAGCAGUGGGGAAUAUUGCGCAAUGGGCGGGAGCCUGAUGCGGCAGCGCCGCGUGCGGGAUGACGUCCUUCGGGUUGUAAACCGCUUUCGCCUGUGACGAAGCGUGAGUGACGGUAAUGGGUAAAGAAGCACCGGCUAACUACGUG
Molecule: ribosomal RNA, 468 nt
Filed under: uncultured bacterium
Lineage: Bacteria
Description: partial 16S ribosomal RNA
Rfam family: Bacterial small subunit ribosomal RNA
Source: RNAcentral